Molecule: ribosomal RNA, 2118 nt
Filed under: Triticum aestivum (bread wheat)
Lineage: Eukaryota; Viridiplantae; Streptophyta; Magnoliopsida; Poales; Poaceae
Description: partial small subunit ribosomal RNA
Source: RNAcentral
AUGGCCACCCCCAGCUCUCAUUUCCAAUCCCAGCCGCAGCACUUGCUGCUGGUGCUGCCAGUGCCAGUAAUCCUAGUUCUCAUCUUUGCCAUGGCUGCUGAAGCUCAAGGGGGUUGCCGACACAAGUGCGGUGACAUCGACAUCCCCUUCCCAUUUGGCAUCGGCGUCGGCCCCGGCUGCUUCCGUGAUGGCUUCGAGGUCUUGUGCAACGAAUCUUCCGUUCCUCCCCGUGCCUUCCUUGCUGGAGGCAAGUACGUCAGGCAGCAGCACAGCUCGCCAUCCGGUGACAUUGAGUCGUCCUGGCUGGUGGAGCUGGCGAGCUUAUCAGUCGCUACAGGCGAGGCACGAGUGUUUGCCCCGGUCUCCUACCACUGCAACACACAAGACAACGGGGUCGUCUCCAUGGCACCGUAUAUGGAACUCCUGGGCACGCGAUUUGCUGCCUCGACGACGCGAAAUGUUCUCAUGGGCCUUGGCUGGAGCGCCGACACUCGACUGUCUUUCAUGUCUACUCCUGAGAUGUUGUUUGCUUGCCUUGCUUUUGAUAUCGAAUUAGACAGGGGGGACGGGUCUUGCUCGGGGUCCUGCUGCCAAGCUACCCUUGCGCGCUACGGCAAGAGCCUCAGAUGGACUGUCAAGUUUCUUAGUGACAAUACAAUUAACAUGCCGCGCCUCCCGUGCUCCUAUGGCAUGGUGGUGGAGAAGUCAUGGUACACAUACUCUAUGGCGGAUCUAGAGGGCUACAAGGUGCUACUCAAUAGGUUUCCCCAGGGCGUCCGCAUGGUGCUCAAUUUCACUGCUGGGGACGGUUUGUGUCCGGCAAAAGGACAGCCGCCGCCUCAGGACUACGCCUGCCUCAGCAGCAACAGCUUUUGUGCCAAUGCAACAUACGGAUAUACCCCUGGCUACAUCUGCAAGUGCCUGGACGGUUACGCGGGCAACCCUUAUAUCCCUAACGGAUGCCCAGACAUUGAUGAGUGCAGCCUCCUCCAAAAUCCAUGCUCAAAUGGCGGGGUCUGCACAAACAAGUUGGGAGGCUAUGACUGUCCAUGCAAAUUCGGAAUGAAGGACGAUGGCAGAGGGGGAACCUGCACAGAUAUAUUCCCUCUAGCAGCAAAGGCGGCUGUGGGUGCAAUAGGUGGUGUACUUCUCGUGGUGAUUAUAUCGUUUCUUGUUAUUCUUCGCAAAGAGAAAAAGAAAGUGAAUGAAUUAUACAAAAGGAACGGCGGCCCAACAUUGGAGAAGGCAAAUGUGAUUAAGCUUUUCAAAAAGGAUGAGCUCAAGCCAAUUUUGAAGAAUAGCAAUUUAAUUGGAAAAGGUUGCUUUGGUGAAGUUUACAAGGGCCUUCUCGAGAAUAAACUAGUUGCCGUAAAGAAGCCGAUUAAUGGUUCUGUGCUAGAGAGUGACCAAUUUGCAAAUGAAGUCAUCAUCCAAUCUCAAGUCAUCCACAAGAAUAUUGUUAGGCUCAUUGGUUGUUGCCUUGAAGUUGAUGCCCCCAUGUUGGUCUACGAGUUUAUCUCCCAAGGUAGUCUCCAUGACAUUCUUCACAAUAACAAUAACAAGGUGGCUCUCAACUUGGAUGCACGUUUAAGUAUUGCUGCACAUUCAGCGGAUGGUCUAGCUUAUAUGCACUCAAAAACAAAUAUUAGAAUUCUACAUGGUGAUGUCAAACCAGCAAAUAUACUCUUGGAUGAUAACUUCAUACCCAAGAUUUCAGACUUCGGCAUAUCUAGGCUGAUUGCAAGAGAGAAGGAACACACUGCAUCAAUCAUUGGUGACAUGAAUUAUAUGGAUCCGGUGUAUCUACAAGAAGGCCUACUCACCGAAAAAAGCGAUGUUUACAGUUUUGGGGUUGUGAUUCUAGAGCUUAUUAGCAGGAGGAGGGCAAUGCAUUCUGACAAUAAUAAGUUGGUAAAGAAUUUUCUUGAAGCUCAUAAGAAACAAAACAAAGCUACUGAGUUUUUUGACAAGGAAAUUGCGAUAACAGAAGAUUUGGAGCUUCUUGACAGUCUAGCAGGUAUGGCCGUGGAAUGCCUUAGCCUUGACGUGGAUCAAAGACCAACGAUGAUGGAGGUAGCUGAGCAGCUACUCAUAUUGGGCCGAUCUCGUAAGGUGUAA